UUUUUUUCAUUUGGUUUGGGACUUAAAAUAACCAGCAGUAUGUAGGCCAACCAAAAAGCCUGCUGACCUGGAGGCAUCCUUGACAUGAAGUCCCACUUACCUUCUCUUAUUUAGAGCUUAACUUCAUUUUCAGUUUCAUCAAGCCGUUUGGGGGCAUUUCUCUUGGCAGCAGUAAGGCUGGGAAGCACUACCUGUGAAGUUUGAGGCUGGAAUCCACCCAGACCCCACUGAAUCACUGAUUUCUCAGCUUAACUCCAAUGAACUGGGGUAGAACUGGGUAUUCUUAAGUAUCACCCAGGGCAGAAAAAAACUCAACGCGCUAUCUAAAUUAUCCAACUAUCCGGAUUGAAAGAUUUUACUUGGAUAAGACAUACUUGCUUCUGAAAUUCGGCAGGAGAGUCUUCUGGUUUCAAAUCUAUGGGUGCCAACACUGAUCAUGGAUAUAUGAUCUGUAAAGCAAAUCACUUAUUUUGGUAUUUUGCUACUUGGUAAGAAUAAAAUGGAGAAAACUGUUUAGGGAAUCUGGAUCUUCAUGCAUCCUCUAUCCUUCCAGUGUGCUCUCUGCUCAAGGGCUGGGGUUGGGGAGGCAUGGGAAUUUCCAUUUUAUUGCACGAUGUUUAGGGCCUGGUCAGCGGAGGAGCGAUGAGCUGACGCACAUUCUUCACCCCCUCCCCCCCACUUUUUUAACUUAUUUUUUAAUGGCUGUACCUGUGGCAUAUGGAAGUUCCCAGGCCAGGGAUGGAAUCUAAGUGGCAGCUGUGACCUACACUGCACCUGUGGCAACAACGGAUCCUUUAAGCCACUGUACCAGCCUGGGGAUGGAACCUGAGCCUCUGCAGCAACCCAAGCCACUGCAGUUGGACUCUUAACCCACUGCGCCAUAGCAGAAGUGCCUACACACAUGCUUGGACGAGGAAAGGCGGCCACAGCCCUUUGUGCCAGCAUCUCAUUAUGCCUUUCCUCCGCUCUUUUUGCCAAAGCGCCCUGCUAGAUUAUAAAAGGGAUGUGACAAGGAACAUCUCACCAGAUUCUGCAAAAGCAGAUUGGGGCGAUGGAAAACUGAAAUACAGAAAGUGAAGCUAAGAAACCAAUUCUGAAAGCAGUGUUUGACAGGUAAGAAGGCACGGGAAGGUGUCAGGGGUACCCAGGUCUAUACAACCAGCCGAGGGCAGGAAGCAACAGAAGAACCCAUUAUCCCGGCACCCACACAGGGUUUCCGAACACAGCUCCCUGCAUGGUAACAAGGAGGUUAGCACUGACUCUUACUCAAAAUUAAAUUCGAUUAGAUAUUUCUGGUGGGAAUACUUUAGAAAUGAAAAAGCAUUUUCAAUUUCAAUUAAAUUAAAUACCCAAUUAUGUCACUGGGAAAUUUACCUCCGUAGGAAUCUGUUUUACUUUUACCCUUUUAUUAAAAGAAAAAUUCACGUUUUCCUUUCUGGUCAUACAUUAAAGCGUUUUAGGCAAAAUGGCUCGUUUUCAUCUGAUUAAAAUGCAGCCUAUUUUAGGUUUGGGGAUGAGAAUCUGAAGUCCAGGGACCCAGUGAAAUUGUGUGGAAUAGUUCUUAGCUGUACACAUACAUAUUUUUCUAGGACAAAGGUUCUUAGCUUUGAUCAGAUUUUUCAAAUGGAUCUCUGACUUUUCCCAAAGAUUAAUAACUUCUGUUCCAGAGGGAGCUGAGGUUUUGGCGAAAGUAAGGGAUCCUUACUCCAGAGCCUUGUUUCUCUCAAUAGUUCCUAAAUCUUUUGGAUUUGCACAAUUGCUUUUAAAUUCACAAAGGAAAUCCGUAAGACCUACAAAGAAAAGUAAACUUGGCUCUCACUGGAAGGGGACUGGGCAGGAACUGAUUAAUUCUGCAGUGAUGAGAAUUUAAUAUACAACUUUUUACUUCAUUUCAGGUAGCCUGAAUUUCAGAUAUGAUAUUGUCAGCAAAGAAACCAUUUCUUUUCCUCCCCCACAACUUCUUCUUUUUUUCUUCUUUUAACCUUAAAAAAGGUUUCUAUUUAUUUGAUUUGCAUUUUCCUAGCAAGGUCUUUUCUUCUGAAUUCAAGAGACUGGGAGUGAAAUUAUUCCACCUGGGGAGAAGAGAAAGCUGAAAGCCAAUUUAAUAUUGGUUUUCAAAUACAUGAAGGGCACUCAGAGAGAGGAUGUUAGCUAAAGGAAAUGGUCUUUGAACUAAACUACGAAGAAUCUGAGUUUUGCUCUAAAGUUAAAUUUCCUGGCAUAAAGCAUUCAUAACCCUAAACUGAGAGACUGAAAGAUCGCUUUUGGAGACUUUAUAAAUAGGACAGAUUCUUAAAUGUCUGGGAUGAGGUCCUACCUGAUGUCAGGAGGAUAAAUUUCACCACCAGCAGCAAUCCCUUCCUGGCCUAAAAGCCUAAGGAUAUGGCUGGUGUGUCAGAAGUUCUAACACUAGCCCUGGACAUCCAGAGUCACGUCUCCAUCAGGGGCUGGACAGCAGCCAAUCAGCAACCUCACACAUUGGCCAUCUCUCAGCUGGUCCCCACUCCUGCUUCUGUCUGAGUCUGGGGAGCGGUAACCAAGCGCAGGGAGAGCUCUGCUCCCUAAUUUCACCCCCAGUUCCCAUCAAGCCCUCAGAGAUCCAGGGUUUGCAAGAAAAACAAAAGCAGAACUCAGGCAUUGUAGUCAAAAUUGCAUGAGUGCCCAUUUUGUUUAAAUCCAUAUUAAGCUUCACAGCACACCUUUUUUCUCCCUCUUGGCAAAAGGUAAGAGCCCAGCUCUGUUUCCGAAACCAAUACCUUCUAAGACCGGGCUGGUUUCAGCCUUCCUUUUUUUUUUGCUGGACAAUGCUGCCCCUACUUUGAAAGGAGGCGAUAUCUAUAGCUAGACCUUCAGGCUGGCCUCAAAAGUCUUUCUGUGGCUCCCCAAGGGAAAACCCUAAGGGACACAUCCGGGUCUGGAAGCUCCGCUCCCCUGACUCCAGUGGGCCUGUGCGCACAGGCUCAGAGAUUCUGAGUUGUUCGGGGAUCCUGGAAAACAUCUGGUCAACCCUUGUCUGCAAUGUGUGCCCCUUGGUCACAGCUCCCAAGUGGUCACCGAGCUCCAAGAGGUUUCCAAUCAAACCAUUUGAAAGCUGUCCUGCUCUCAGCAAGAGAAAGUACUGAGCUGAAGUCUGCUCCCUCCUCUUGCCCUUCGUGUCCAUGUCACAAGAGUCUUUGCAACGUCACUCAAAGAGCUAAACAUCGGACUUUCACUUGGACGGUCAAGUCCAAAGGCAGCUGCAGCACACAUGCCCUCUGAGGUUCAGGAGCAGAAUCCCUAGCAGGUUGCUGCCAACCUCCUUUCGCAGAAACAAAAUAAUCUGAAAAACAUGUCUGAGGAUACUCUGCACGUGAGGAACCCCCACAAAAUGCUGAUCCACGGGAAAACAUCAAAGGAUAAACUGUGUAUUUGUGGGGGUGCCUGCCAUGGAGCUAAAAACCCAGCACAAACCAAAGGAGGCUAAUAAGCUCAAGAUGGAAAAAAUACUCAGACAAUGCGCACAUCGUGGUUCUAUUAAUAUUGGUAAUAUGGUAAUAUUAAUAUAGUAACAUUAAUAUGGCACCUUUACUGGAAUUCCUGUUGUGGCUCAAUGGAGACGAAUCUGACUGGUAUCCAUGAGGACUCAGGUUUGAUCCCUGGCCUCGCUCAGCGGGUUGAGGAUCUGGCUUUGCCGUGAGCUAUGGUGUAGAUCGUAGACGUGGCUCAGACCCUGCAUUGCUGUGGCUGGGGUGUAGGCCGAUAGCUACAGCUCCUAUUCAACCCCUAACCUGGGAACCUCCAUAUGCUGUGGGUGAGGGCCUAAAAAGCAAAAUAUAUGUACAUAUGACACCUUUACUUAGUGGCUGAUAAAAAAGCGAAAGCAUCAAUGAGAAUAAUAGGAAAGCGGAAAGUGGAAGUCACUGACUCUCCCCUGAGCACACGGCGGCUGGCACAGCAGGUAGAAGUCAUCACCCAGAGAAUGGGGACGUCCCCCUCCCUCCUAGAGGAGGCCACUGUGCCAUGUGCACAUGUGACAUGGCAGGAAAGAGAUGAACAGCUAGUGGGACCAAGAGUGGGCGGUUAAAUGGACCAAGAAAGGGCUCCACCACCGGAUGAAAUCAGGAAGGGAAGGGAGUGUUUAAGGCUGUCCAAAGUCUGAAAGGGUGUGAGGAUGGAAUGUCUUCCUCACCGGUGUCCUCCAAGACUGAGACUGGGACUAAGCUACCUCCGUGUCACCCUGAGAGCCUGCCCCCACCAGGUGUUCCACACACACUUACUGCCACAUGCAUUGUGUCCUGGCCCAAGGCAGCGCUGAGAACCAGCUCAUUUUUGGAAGAGAUGUCCUGGGACACAAGUCUCUGUGGGAAAGGACUCCGCUACCUGAUUCCAAGCUCAGAACAGCCUCAAUGGAUCUGACGCUGCGUGAGAACAGAUGCAGGGAGAAGUCUUAUAAGCCAUGAAAAGGGACCACGCAAAGUCCAACAGAGGAAAAAAGCCAGUAUAUAUCUUUUUGAGGAUUCUUUUUUUCUACUCUUUACUUACAAAAAUAAAUCCCUCCCUAGCUCUGCUGUCUCUCUAUCAAACGUUUUCUUGCCUGCUGCAAAUCCACUGUUUGAACAUCACUAAGACCUUGAACUCCACAGAGCACAAGCAGUGAAGAUAAGCAAAUGCUGCCCUAAGAAACUUACUGUCUAUACUGCUUACUAUCGGUGGGUUUCAACUACACUUCUUACCAUAAUCAUGUGCCCUUAAUUUUUUUUUUUUUGGCUGUUCCUGCAACAUGCAGAAGUUCCACGUCAAGGAUUGAGCCCGAGCCAAAGCAAUAACCUGAGCCACAAUGCCGAGUCCUUAACCGAGACGCCACCAGGGAACCGCACAUGCCAUUAAUUAAAGACGUUUCUGGACAAUUUUUUUAUAAUGCAAAAAAUCAUGACAAUGUCCUUGGGCCUAUGACCCCAUUAUGCCUACAGCACGCUACUCCCCGGCCUGCCCUGGGGAUUGCUUAAUAAGGAUUUCGAGUUUUAUAUUCAUGGCCAUAAUGUCACCUAUGGAAAUAAGUAUUGUGCUGUUUGCCUUUCUUUGCUGUUUUUUUUUGCAAUCUCGUUUCAGCCUCGGGAUCUCUGGCACACUUGGCCCUUGUGCCAGGACAGAAGACACAAGAUCAGUCCUGACAGACACAAUGUCAACGUUGUCUUUGCUCUGAGUGCAGAUAUGAUGACCUUCUGGCACAAAUGUGCAUGGGGCAGACGGCACAUUUCAGAAACGACUGUGCCAGAAGGACAUGAAGAAAGGCAAUAAUUUCUCUUUCCCAAUAUGUGACAACUUUAAGAUUUCAAAAGAAUAAUAAAGAUUUCUGUGAAAGGACUGGUUUGUGGCAACUGCUUUUCUUUUCCUGAUCCCAUCAAUACCAGGUGUGCUGACCCUCAGCACAGGACCAGGUAUUUUCUUCUUACUUAAGACUCCCUGGGCAGCUAUUAUCAGUAUUAAUUUUCUUUUAUCCAGAUCAAUUCUAUUUUAAAAAAAAUGUCUUUUGGAGUUCCCAUUGUGGCACAGCGGAAAUGAAUCUGACUAGGAACCAUGAGGUUGUGGGUUUGAUCCCUGGCCUCACUCAGUGGGUUAAGGAUCCAGCAUUGCCGUUAGCUGUGGUGUACGUCACAGAUGUGGCUCAGAUUCUACAUUGCUGUGGCUGUGGCUGUGGCUGGCAGCUGCAGCUCUGACUUGACCACUAGCCUGGAAAUUUCCAUAUGCCAUGGGUGCGGCCCUAAAAAAAAAAAAAAAAAAAAGGACAAAAGACAAAAACAAAAAUUUCUUUUAGCCACAGCACUUUAUUUACCAAAAUAUGUAAUGGCAUAACCUCCAUCUGAGGGAACUUUAAAUCAAAGAGGUAUUUUUAAAUUCUAUGAGUUGCUUCUGAUUAUAAAAACUUAUGUUCAUUAUGAGAACUGGAAAAGGGUAAAAAUUUUAAAUAAUCUACAUGCCACCAACCAAAUGAUCUCUAAUAACAGACUGCAUAUUUAUAAAAUUGAGAUCAUCCACUAUAGACUGUUUCAUAUGCUUAUUUUUUAGUUAACCUAUAAAAUUUUCUCAUGACAUAAAUAAGGACUCUUCAAAAUCAUAUUUUAAUUUCACAUGGGGCAUAGGAAUUUUUUUUCCAAUUCCUUGAUGUGUUAAAUAAAACUAUGAUAUGCAUUCCUGAAGAUAUUUUAAAUUUCUCCACUCGUGCUCCAAAUUGCUUUGCAGAAAAUAAAACAGUUUCGAGCUCUAUAAGGAUACUACAAGAAUAUCUGCUCCCAGUCCUUUACAGACUUUAAAUUUUUGCCAAUUUGAUAGGUAACACGUUAUGAUGCCGAAAUUUUCAUUGGCCUUUUUUUCAUAUGGUUUUUUGGACAGCUGGAUAUCUUCUUUGGAACAGGCUACUCAGGGCCUUUACCCACUCUUCUUUUACAGCACUGGGUUUUUCUCCUAAAUGAUAUUUAGGAGUCCUUUAUGUUUUAAGGAUAUUGACAGAUCGCAAAUUUUCCCCAGUUUGUCAUUUACCUUGAAAUCUACGAUCAUGUUCUAAAAACUCAGAUAGGAGUUGGCAUCUGUGUCAUUGCUGUGAACUUUCAGGUGUCACUGGAAAUUAUUCCACUUGUAAUAAUAAGAUGCAUUUACAUUCUGAACUUGUCCAUGGACUGUUAGCCACCUAAAAUAUGAAACCACUAGAACCUUUGGAAAAAGAAAGCCUUUGAUUGACAACUAUGGAAAGACCAAAGAAGUGCCAGUAAUUUCCAUUGCUCUUUGGCUGUUCACAAUGUCAGGACCCAGUCAUGCCCCAAAGAUCUUACCCCAACACAGUGCUUUUCCUCAAGCCCUAGGAACCACACACCGCAAGCAAAGGCCAGGACCAAACCACCAUCCUCUGGAAUUCAGUUUGCAAUUCUAAGGUGACUGAAUGCAAAGAAUAAAUACAACAGUUUGAGUAAAAACAUUCACUGAGCCGCUUGAACUGCUGAGUCUCAAGCUGGCAUGUUAACUAUGGGAAAGAGUCCUUAUGAUUUAACUCUCUCAGUCUGAGGUAUGGACCCAGGAUAUUAAAUUCACGAGAAAUUUUCAGAAAAUGCUAAACACAGAGCAUGUAACUAAGAAUGCAACUGAAAAACCAGCAAUCAGGAGUUCCCUUCGUGGCUCAGCAGUUAAGGAACAUGACUAGGACCCAUGAGGAUGUGGGUUCGAUCCCAGGCCUCGCUCAGUUGGUUAAGGAUCCAGCAUUGCCGUGAACUGUGGUGUGGGUCGCAAAUGCAGCUUGGAUCCCACAUUGCCAUGGCUGUGGUGCAGGCCAGCAGCUGUAGAUCUGAUUCGACCUCUAGCCUGAGAACUUCCAUAUGACACGGGUGUGACCCAAAAAAGCAAAAGGAAGGAAGGAAAGAUGGGAGGGAGGGAAGAAGGAAAGAAAGAAAAACAGGCAAUCAGUGGAGAGCUAAGAUCAAAAACAGUACAGAAUGGGGAGUUCCCGUCGAGGCGCAGCUGAAACAAAUCCACUAGGAACCAUGAGAGAUUAGAAAUAUAUUAGAGGGAAUCUACAUUCUGCUUAAUCAGAAGAACCUGGUACAGGUAUGAGAUUAAUUUGCAGUUCCCCUUGAACAGCACAGCAUCACCAGGCCAUGGGUUCAUCAUCCCGAAGCCAGAGGAUGCAGCCUGAAUGGAGUGUGUUCUUCACCUGGUCCAUUUCCUCCAUCCUGCUCUGAAUGGUUUGCAACUUUUCAUUAAUUCAUAGAAAAGAUGAUUCCCACAGAUCUGCAUCACCUGCUUUUUUUUUCUCCUUAACCCAAGAUGAUACCUUUGGGGGGGGGCGAUGUGGAUCAAUUGUAAAUUAUUUUAAAUAAGCCUUACAGUUGCUAUUACUAUUAAUGGUAACAUAUCCUGAAACAAUAUCAAAUACUUGACAAAAUCAAGCACUAUGUGUAGGUUUUUUGUUGGGUUUUUUUUUUUUUUUGAUUGUUUUAUUUGGUUUUUGUUAAACCAAAAGGUGGCUGUAACCAGGGCAUGCAGAAGUUACCAGGCCAGGGAUCAAACCCGCGCCACAGCAGAGACCCAAGCCGCUGCAGUGACAGCUCUGGAUCCU
This 8083-nucleotide long non-coding RNA is filed under the name Sus scrofa (pig). Its description in RNAcentral is "lncRNA (ENSSSCG00040045845.1)". The record is from RNAcentral. Lineage: Eukaryota; Metazoa; Chordata; Mammalia; Artiodactyla; Suidae.